AUUAUGUUUCCGUGUCCUAAUAAAAACCAUUUUGUACUGUUUGAUAAAAAUCAUAUUGAAAUUAUCUAACUAUUUUUAAAGCUAAAACUGCAGCUUUUCAGUGAGAUAAGAUGGAGUUUAGUCUUUUAAUUUCUGUAAUAAAUGGAUCUUGCUUUUCCAUCAUAAAAACAACCAUGCUACUUUAUCACAGGGUAAGCAGAAAAGAACAAGGCCGAUAUAAUAUGUAAAUGAUGCAAAUGAUGCAUUCGUGCGAAGACCAUAUGAGUCAUGGUGCCCACAGUAGUUUGAAUAGAGACACAUAGCAAAGCAGCUGAGUCAUUACUGGGCUGACAGUAGCAGAGACUAAAGUCAGAAGAAGCAGCUCACUUAUUCAGGUUUGGCACCUGUGAUCCUCCCCAUCUUUACACCAGAGCUUGAAUCCAUUCUUCAGGCGGCCAUCCUUUUCUUAUUAUGGUCAAGUUCACAUUUGUUCAGCACAGGACCGAGUCUGCCUUCUCCUUUGAACUCCUUGCUAACCAUAAAGGCGUGCUUCAGAGAGCCAUCCUCAUUAACAUUCCAGGUCCCGCUUCCCUUUCAGCAAUAAACAAGCCCCGCAUCAAUGGCCUCCUUCCUUCCAGUUUUACAAAUGAAUGGCUCAGUUCCAUGUUUUGCUGCAGACCCAGGUGCCCAGGCAUAUAAUGCAGGACUAAGAAUCACACAGGAGGGACUAAAAAUAGAACAGCAGUUUUGGACACAUAGCAG
RNAcentral lists this long non-coding RNA (741 nucleotides) under Fukomys damarensis (Damara mole-rat). RNAcentral describes it as "lncRNA (ENSFDAG00000025530.1)". The record is from RNAcentral. Lineage: Eukaryota; Metazoa; Chordata; Mammalia; Rodentia; Bathyergidae.